Molecule: ribosomal RNA, 424 nt
Filed under: uncultured Oribacterium sp.
Lineage: Bacteria; Bacillati; Bacillota; Clostridia; Lachnospirales; Lachnospiraceae
Description: bacterial SSU rRNA
Rfam family: Bacterial small subunit ribosomal RNA
Source: RNAcentral
UGGGGAAUAUUGCACAAUGGGCGAAAGCCUGAUGCAGCAACGCCGCGUGAGGGAAGACGGUUUUCGGAUUGUAAACCUCUGUUUUCGGUGACGAACAAAUGACGGUAACCGAGUAGGAAGCCACGGCUAACUACGUGCCAGCAGCCGCGGUAAUACGUAGGUGGCAAGCGUUAUCCGGAAUUACUGGGUGUAAAGGGAGCGUAGACGGAACGGCAAGUUUGAAGUGAAAUACCCGGGCUUAACUCGGGAACUGCUUUGAAAACUGUCGAUCUAGAGUGUCGGAGAGGUAAGUGGAAUUCCUGGUGUAGUAGUGAAAUGCGUAGAUAUCAGGAAGAACACCGGAGGCGAAGGCGGCUUACUGGACGAUAACUGACGUUGAGGCUCGAAAGCGUGGGGAGCAAACAGGAUUAGAUACCCUGGUAGU